This is a non-coding RNA of Oryctolagus cuniculus (rabbit), 11538 nucleotides long. Lineage: Eukaryota; Metazoa; Chordata; Mammalia; Lagomorpha; Leporidae. The record is from RefSeq and is a predicted model, not a curated record.
GUGUGUGUGACCCUAGCGGGUGACGCUUCGCCGCGGCUCGCGACUCCCAACCGUGCCUUGCCCCUGCAUCUUCUCUCCCAGAAGUGGGAGCACUCUCUUCAAAUCCGUUUCCAGGCCUGCGGGUUGGAAGGCGUGCGCUUGUCCGCCUUGGAGAAGCUGCGGUGUGUCCAGUCUCCUCUCAGAAGCCCUGUCUGAUGAGCUGGGGACGGGGCACCAACGCUUGGAACCUGAGGCGUCGGGGCCUUCGGCGGGGCUGGCCUUAAGUCUUCCCCCUUAGCACGCUUUCCAUUUCUGCUGGGGACCGAGCGAUCCAUGCGGCUUAUAGGAGAGGGGUCACCAGCACUUUGCACGGAGCCCGACGGCCACUCACGAUUCAGCACGUGUUAGCCGCCCUUAUCUUUCCGAGAUGCAGGCGAACAGAAGCACAGGUUGAACGGAACGUUUUUGGAUGCGUUGUCUUUUCUGGACUCUUCCUGGACACCUGCCCUGCAGGAGGAGCACAGGUAACUUGUGGAGGGGGAGAGGAGUGAGGUAGAGAACUGAGGCUGUCUCCGUGACUGCGAGGAAGGGCUGUGUGCACAUCAUGGCUAUCCACCUGCGAUCCUAUGAGCCCAGGGACUAACAUUCAAAAUGAAGGAAAGGAGAAGUUAAAACAACGCUUAUACAAAGGGAGUUGUGCUAAAUUCAUAUUUUGAUUAUGAAAUGGACAAAAGGGCUUGUGUCUUUUUUUAAGAUUAUUUAUUUGAAAGGCAGAGUUACAGAAAGAGAGAGAUGUCUUUCAUCUACUGGCUCACUUCCCAAAUGGCUGCAAAGGCCAGUGUAGUCCAAGCCAAGGUCAGGAGCUGGGAGCUUCCUCCAGGUCUCCCACAUGGGUGCAGGGGCCCACACUGCUUUCCCAGGCACAUUAACAUGGGAGCUGCAUUGCAAGUGGAACAGCCAGUUCUUAAACUGGCAUCCAUAUAGGAUGCUGGGGUCUUAGAUGGCAGCUUUGCCUGCUAUGCCACAAUGCCGGCCCCAAGGCUUGUGGUUUGUUGUGGUUUUUUGGUUGUUUUUGUUGUGUUGUUUUUCUAUAUGGUUUUCCCAAGUGGCGGGGGAGGGGGGAAUCACCCUGAAAGCAAUCCUGUUUGUGGAGCAUUUGCUUAUUCUUUUGUUCUUUUAUUAUGUACUUAUGUUACACCAGGUUGACUUUUUUUUUUUUUUUAGAUUUUAUUUAUUUUUUAUUUAAGAGGUAGAGUUACAGACAGAGAGAAAGGUCUUCCAACCACUUCCCCAAAUGGCCACAUGGGUGUAGGAGCCCAAGCACCCAGGCCAUCCUCCACUGCUUUCCCAGGCACAUUAGCAGGGAGCUGGAUCGGAAGUGGGGCAGCCAGGUCUCAAACUGGAGCUCAUAUGCGAUGCUGGCAUCCUAGACGGAGGCUCAACAAGCUGUGCUGCAACGCUGGCCCCCCAAAAGCACUUUUGAGUCUCUGUGGGAAGAGAGAGAGGGAGGGAGGGAGUUGGAAGAAUUGGUGGAGCAAGAAGCAGCAUGUCUGCAGACCAGCUGUGGUGUGUUGAGUUUAGGGUGAACAUGGAAAUUUUUAAGUAGUGAACUGAAGAAGUUGGCAGGGGCCACACCUGGGUGUGCCCUGUGGAAAAAGAAGGCCCUGAAGGAUCCUGAGCAGAGGAGGCCAGGAUCAGAUCUGCAUUUCUUAGGCGUCAGUGACUCCGGUGAGAAGAGCCAGAGAACAAAAGAGGAGGCAAGAUUGCGUUAAUCCAGCUGGGGAAUGAAGGGCCUUCCGGGAGAAGGGGGUGCAGAUGUGAGAGGUACAGAUGGAGAAUCUUCAGAGUUUAAGAUGAUUGAACAUAGACUGGGGCAACCUGGUAGAAUGUACAUUUAAGGGGCAGAAGGGAAAACUGUAUGGAAAAGAAAAAUGAAGCCAAAAAAAAAAAAAAAUCAAAGGAAAGCCAGAGUGAAUCAGUAGGGUUGGAUCCCUCACCCUCGGUGGCAGGCAGAACCCUGGUUUUGUUCUGCAUUCUAUGUUUCCUUCCAGUGAUUCUGUGGUAUUAAUUAAUCCAAGCCAGUCUUGGUUGUCACAAUUCCCUUACCAGGGACUAGUUUAGACAGGGCCAUAUGGUGUAGCUCAGGCCAGGGAGAUGUGAGGGAAGACUUCUGGGGAAGGUCCCCUCACUGGUUAAAAAUAAAGAGACAUGGGGAGAUGUCGCUCCCCCUCUUCAUGGAGGAAUGACACUAAACCCUGCCUAGGCUUCAUAUCCAAGUCACGGCACCAUUAUGUCACUCCCCGUCUUCGUGGAGGAACGACACAGGACCCUGCGCUGUUCUUUUGUCUGCUCGGCCCUCCCCGGGUUUGCUGCUGGUUCUUCCCGGGUUGGCUACUGUCCCUUCCACCUCCGUGGAAGGGCGGUUCCCCCUGCCACUUUCCCCACUUCCGCGGGGGAGCGGCACACCGCCGGCCGGCUCUCUCGGGGGCUGCACAGGUGUUCCCCUUAGAUGUUCCUCUUAGAUGUUCCUGGUGCAUGCCGUCUCUCUCCUCCUUUAUAGUCUUCUUCCACCAAUCCCAACUCUGCUACCCACACGCCAAGUACGCUGCUCUCCUCCAAUCAGGAGCAGGUCCUACAGUUUAUUGGUUGAACUGGAGGCAGCUGUGUAGAAGCUGUUUCCUCCUCUCCCAGCGCCAUAUUGUGGGAGAGCAGAUGCAUAGAAUAAGUCUUAAUUCCAGUAACUUAGUCUAGUCCGAGUUGCUCCCAGUUGCUCCCCACAGGGAGACACACGCUCUUCUCAGCUGCUGGUGUCAUACUGGGGUAUGGCACCUGGAAAUGGUGUUUUUAGGGUUCUCCAGAGAAAUAGGAACAACAGUAGAUGGAUGUAGAUAAACGGAGGUGGAGGACGCGUGUCCGUGUGUGACGGGAGAUCUGUAGGAACUGACUCACACGAUUGUAGAGGCUUCCAAGCUCCAUGAUCUGCUGGCUACAAGUGGGAGAACCUAGAAAGCGGGUGGCUGUUUCAGUCCUGAGAAUCAGGCUCCCAUGGAAUGAGUGCUGGGCUGUCUGCAAGCCCGAGCCCAGGGGCGGAGAAGAUGGUGUCUGAGCUCAAGCAGAGAAUCUGAGUUUUCCCUGACUCUGUCCUAUUUUCCAUUCAAGGCCCAAAACAAUUGACUGAUGCUCACCCUCACUGGGGAGGGUCACCUGCCAUCCUUAGUUCAUCACUCAGAUGCCGGUCCCUUCCAGAAACACCCUAGAGACAAGCCCAGGAGUAACGCAAAGAUCUUGCUAUUGAAUGGGUUAAUACAGGACACACAGGCUGGCCUCGUGGCACAGGGGGUUAAGCUGCUACUUGUGAUGCCCACAUCCCAUCCCAGAGCCCCAGUUUCAGUCCUGUCUGCUCUGCUUCCAAUGCAGCUGCCCGCCAAUGCACCCGGGAAGGCAGCAGAAGAUGGCUCAAGUGUUGGACUGCUACCACCCACAUGGAGACCUGGCUGGAGUUCUGGGCACCUGGCCUUGGCCUGGACCAUCCUGGGGAGUGAAUCAGUGGAUGAAAGGUCUCUUUCUCUCUAUUUCUUCCACUCUCUGUCACUUUGCCUGUCAAGGAAAUAAAUAAGUGAAUCUUUUAGAAAAUAAAAAGGACACACAAAAAUCAAAGAAAAAAGACUGGGCAUCGUGGCACAGUGGGUUGAGUCACACUGCUUGGGACACCUGCAUCCCAUGUGGGAGUCCUGGCUACUUUGCUUCUGAUCCAGCUUCCUGCUGAGAUGCCUGGAAGUAGCAGGACUUUAUGACUCAAGUGCGUGGGUCUGUGGCACCCACGUGAAGGUCUGGGUAGAGUUCCAGGAUCCUGGCUUUGGCCUGGCCCAGUCCUGGCUGUUGCAGUUAUUUGAUAAGUGGGCAAGCAGAUGGAAGUUAUCUGACUCUCUCUGUCUCUCUCUGUCUCUCCCUCUAUGUCACUCUUUCAAAUAAAUCAAUCACAUAUAUUAUGUCAAAGUUGCUCAUAAAAUUUUAUUUUUAAUGUAUGUUUUUAUUUAUUUUCAACUGCUUGAAAGGCAGAAAGACAGAGACAGAGAGCAUGAGAUUUUCCAACUUUGGUUCAUUCUCCCAAGUGGCUGCAACAGUGAGGGCUGGACCAGGCCAAAGCCAGGCGCCAGGAACUCCAUCGGGGUCUCCCAUGUGUGUUACAAGAGCCCAAGCACUUGUGCUAUCAUCUGCUCUCUCCCAGAAUGUAUUAGCAGGAAGCUAGACCAGAAGCAAAGUAGCUGGGACUGCAACCAGCACUCCAGUAUGGGCUGUGAGUAUCCCAAGCAAUGGCUGAAGAUAUUAUAACAUGGCAGGCAUUUAGCCUGGCGGUUAAGAUGCCUGGACAUCAUCUCACCCCUGCAUCUGGCUCCUGACUCCAGCUUCCUGGCAGUGUAGACCCUGGGAGGCAGUGGUGAUGGCUCAAAUAAUUAAGUUCCUGCCACUUACAUGGGAGACCUGGGUUGAGUUACCAGCUCCUGGCCUCAGCCUGGCACAGCAGUGAAUGAGAGCUAUCUCUCCCUCUCUAUCCUCUGCCUUUCAAAUAAGAAAAUUUAAAAAUGCUAUUACAACUGUAUUUCAGUAUAACUGGUUUCUGUGGUAAUUCUACAUAUAUUUUAUUCAUUCAAAUAACAUUGUCCACUAAGCAGAAAGAAACAUCCAUGUUUUGAAAAGGUUAAGAACCCUGCUCUAAAGGCGGUGAGAAAAAGGGAGAUUUGUACAGUGGAGAUGGGAUCUAAGCAUCUGGGGAACUUGGCUUUGUUGAAGAUAGGAGAGGUUGGGGCCGGCGCUGUGGUGUAGCAGGUAAAGCCUCUGCCUGCAGAACUGGCAUCCCAUGUGGACUCCGGUUCGAGUCCCGGCUGCUCCAUGCCUGACCCAGCUCUCUGCUAUGGCCUGGGAAACAGUAGAUGAUGCCCCAAGUCCUUGGGCCCCUGCACCCGUAUGGGAGACCCGGAAGAAGCUCCUGGCUCCUGGCUUUGGAUUGGUGCAGGUCCAGCUGUUGCAGCCAACUGAGGAGUGAACCAGGGGAUGGAAGACCUCUCUCUCUCACUCUCACUCUUCGCCUCUCUGUGACUCUGCCUUUCAAAUAAAAAUAAAUAAAUAAAAAAGAUAGGAGGGGCUUCCAUGUUCAGAUACUGAAGAGGCAGAGAGGAGAUUUUGGGAGCCAAGGUCCCUGAGGAGGCUGCAGCUACUGGGAUGCAGGGCUCAGGUGGAGGGAUUAACGACAGGAAGGAAACUUUCCCUACAAUCAAAGGGAGGAAAGGAUGAGUGUGGAUAAAAAUAAGUGUCUCAGGGGGGUGGGAGUAGGGGGCAGGAAGUUGAGGGGGCUUCUGCCUGAUGGCUUCUAUUUUCACCAGUCAAGUAGGAGUGAAGUUAUCUACUGAGAGUGGGGAUGAGAGGGGAGGGGGAGAAAGGAGGGCGGCCGUGGACAGCCCAGAGGAUCCCCAGCCCCAGCCCUGGGGUGGGUGGGGGCAGUUAUAGGCGGCUUGGUUGUCAUGGUGACGACCCACCUGGAGGAGUACUGGCUUGCCCAGCACUCAGUGACCCCAGCCUAGGAGCAGGAGGAGGGCAGAAAGUCAGCUAGGUCCAGGGCCGGGAGGAUGGGGAAAGAUCAGGGACAUCCAUCAGGAUGUCCACAGGGAAGAGUGUGAGGCUGGUUAGGGCUGACUGCCUGGGAGGAGUGGGACAGAGACCCAGGAGCUGGAGGCGCGGGAAGUGGUGGUGCCAGAAUGAGCCAGUUGGGGCUGCUGGUGUUGUGGCGUAGUGGGCAAAGCAUCGCACCCCAGGUGGGCGCCAGGUCGUGUUCCCUGCUAAUGGCCUGAGAAAAGCAGUGGAUGUCAGCCUGCCUCAGCCCCGUUGUGGCCACUUGAGGAGUGAACCCGAGGAUUCAGAGGAAGACUCUCUGUGUGUCUCUCUGACUUUCAAAUAAAUCAAUAGAUACGAAUGAGCCAGUCAGGUUUAAGAUUGAGGAGUUGUCUGUGGAAUGGCCAGUGGCCGAGGUCAAGGAGAGGAUGCUGGAUGUGAGAAGGUCAAGGCAGAGCCGGGCUUGGAUGAGGGGAGGCGUGGUGUGAAGGAGGAGCAGUGACUUGGAAGUAGGUAGACCGUUGGGACAAGGAGUGGAGUGAUGGAGCUGCACUGGAUGUGCAUCCGUGGAGGGAGGUUUUCUCAACGAGGUGGAAUAGUGACGCUGUCAGUAGCAGCAAGGAGAUAAAGAAUGCUCACCCACCACGGCAGAAGAGCAGGCACCAGGCGCCUCCUCUGUGGCCUUUAUUACAGAGGCCAGAGGGCAUCACAGUGGUUUCCAACCCAGGAGUAAAGUCCCCUCCCACACUCCACCCCCACCAGGAGGCAUUUGCAAACCUGCAGAAGCCUUGUGGGUUUUAUCAGACUAGUAGGGGCGAUGGAGUAAACAGAUUGCUAAAGGCUACUUACCUUUUACCCAGUUGGCACUGAUGGAAAUUUGGGAAGUCAUCAAACUGAGGCACAGGUGGCAGAUCAGGAAAUGGUCAAGGGGUUUUACAAUGAGGGGAACUGGCAUUUGGUACCUAGAGAUCAGAAAUGCCGAGUGUCCUGUAGUGUACAGGAGUCCUGCCCCGACCUCCAGUAGUGCUUCUUGUAUGUUCUGUGCAUAAGACAGGGGUUCCAAGAACUGAGACGUGCGCUUACUGUUGGGAGCUCCCGUGGUCUUAAUAUGAAGGUCUCGCGCCUAUGUCUGAGGUCACCGUGGCAGGUCCAGUCCCUGCUCCCUCAUCACCUGCCAGUGCUUGGAACUUGGUUCUGCAGCCCUCAUGUGGCCGUGAGUUCAAAGUCACACAUUCGUGGUCGUGGUGCAGAAAGACUGCACGCUCCUGCUGACUUCCUAUGAGGAGGCCCCAGCCUGGACUGCCCACCUCUGGACUUAACAACCAAGAAGAACUGCCAUUUGUUUAAGCUGCUGUCAAUUUUAGAUCUCCGCAGCUUUUCACAUUGGAAAUGAGGAUACUGCAGGACACCCCGAGGAAAGGAGGGAGUGAGGCCGUUUGCUCUGGGAGGGUUGUGCAGAGGCGCCAGCCACAGAGCUCAGCAUCCCAGCCCAGCCCAGCACAGCCGUCUGCCUCCACGUCUCGUAUCACAGGUGAUGAAACCAAGGUUCUUUUCUUUUGCAAAGGUUUAUUUGCACCAUCUGCAUCGUCCAUCCGCGUGACAGUGUUGUCACACAUGGUCUGCGUUUUCUGUGUAUUGGGAAUGUUGUAUUUGCUUUUCCUCUCCUCCUUCAACGUAACCAUGACUUCUGUUAAUUCAUGAUGCUGUGUGUCGCUGCUGCCCCUCCCAGCGUGUGCGCGUCUGUGCCUCCAUGGACAUCUUAUAUGAUCAAACUGAAGAUGCCUUCUAAUACGGUAAAAUACUGUGUUUCUUACAUUCUGCUGUAAUGUUAUUGUAUUUACUAAAUUGACCUCAUUAAGUAUCAGAUAUUAAGUUAUUAUUCAUUUAUUUCUGUAGCAUUCAAGUCUUAAAUUUAAAUGUUGCCAUAUUUGGUCCAUUUUAACUCUGUUGAUGUUUAUUAUGCUGUAACUACAUCCUCCCAGCUGUGCCAGGCUAGCCUAUUGAGCUAAUGAAAACUAUUUAGGAGAUUGUUAUUAAAAAUUAACUUUUGAUGUGGUUUUAGUUUCCCACUUUCUAUCAUUCAGUUAACACCACAAAGUUCUAAGAACAGUUAUGCAAUUGUGUAGUCGAGAAUCUGAAGAUACAACCUUUUUUAGGACUUUUUUUGGGCGUUUUAAGUCCUUUUAGCGCUUUUUGCCUGUGCGUUUCCGUGGUUUGUUCUGGAGCCCUGGAAUCCCAGCCUGCCUGCACCUCUGACUCCAUCCCUCUCCAGUCUAAGACUCUGACGAGCGACCCUGGGGCUCAGCAGGACUCCGACAGUCCUUGGUGAAGGCUGUCAAGGUGGCUUUGUGACUGAUCCAAGGGAACAGUCAGAAGUGCCAUUGCUUGCUUCAACCCCACUUGUAAAUUAGUAAUAGAAGCCAGCAGUGAGUGAGUUUUCUGGAAGGAUCAAGACCAAACAGGUUGAAGCAUUGCUCCCUGCCUGACUCACCUUGGGCUCAGAAAGCUGAUAAACCAAGGAACCCUGGAAAGAAGCCCACGCACACGUCUCUGCUUCCCUCUGCCGUGGUUCCUCCAUGGCUCAGGAGCAACACAUGGCAUGGAUGUUUUUCUGCUCAUCACAUGUUGAAGCAAAAUGUUCCUGCGUGUUGGAAUCGGUGAUUCUAAUCUUAUCUCCUUGAUCGGAGUUGACACCUGUGUGACAUGGCCCCUCCUCCAGAGCCUGUCUGGAAGCAUUUGAGAAUAUGGAAAACAAGAUUUGAGACUGUGGUAGCCUUUGCUUCAUUAAGGCACAGAUUUGCUUUGUUUUAAAAAUUUAUUUAUUUGCCGGCGCCGUGGCUUACUAGGCUAAUCCUCCACCUUGUGGCGCCGGCACACCAGGUUCUAGUCCCGGUCGGGGCGCCGGAUUCUGUCCCGGUUGCCCCUCUUCCAGGCCAGCUCUCUGCUGUGGCCAGGGAGUGCAGUGGAGGAUGGCCCAGGUGCUUGGGCCCUGCACCCCAUGGGAGACCAGGAAAAGCACCUGGCUCCUGGCUCCUGCCAUCGGAUCAGCGCGGUGCGCUGGCCGCAGCGCGCCGGCCACGGUGGCCAUUGGAGGGUGAACCAACGGCAAAGGAAGACCUUUGUCUCUCUCUCUCACUGUCCACUCUGCCUGUCAAAAAAAAAAAAUUUAUUUAUUUGAGGGGCUGGCUCUGUGACGUGGCAGGCAAGGCUGCCGCCUGCAGUACCAGCAUCCGGGGAGUGAACCAGCAGACGGAAGACCUCGCUCUCUCUCUCUCUCUUUCUCCCUCUCUUGGCCUCGGCCUCUCUAUAACUCUGCCUUUCAAAUAAAUAAAUAUUUUUAAAAAUUUUAUUUAUUUGAAAGGUAGAACAACAGAGAUUUUCUGUAUACUAUAUCACUACCAAAUGCUGAAAACAAUCAGGGCUGGACCAGGCUGAAGCCAGGAGCCAGGGACUCCAUCUGUGUCUCCCGCAUGAGGGGCAGGGACUCAGCUACUUGACCCUCACCAUUGCAUCCCAGGAUGCACGUUAGCAGGAAGCUAGAUCAGAAGCGGGGCCACUGGGGCUUGAGCCAGGCAGUCCAGUGUGGGAUGUGGAUGUCCUGACAGGUGGCUUCACCACUGUGCAACAACCCCACCAAAUUUUUUUAGUGGAAGAAAGAAAGCUUUUUUUUUUUUAAGGUUUAUUUAUUUACUUGAGAGACAGAAUUAGAGAGAGAGAGACAAGGAGAGACAAAGGGAGAGAGGUCUUCCAUCUGCUGGUUCACUCCCCAAAUGGCUGCAACAGCUAGAGCUGAGCCAAUCCAAAGCCAGGAGCCAGGAGCUUCUUCCAGGUCUCCCAGAUGGGUGCAGGGCCCAAGGACUUGGGCCAUCUUCUGCUGCUUUCCCAGGCCAUAGCAGAGAACUGGAUCACAAGUGGAACAGCCAGGUUUCCAACUGGCAUUCUUAUGGGAUGCCAGCACUGCAGGCGGCGGCUUUACCCCCUAAGCCACAGCACUGGCCCCAUUUUAGUCAUUUUUAAGUGUACAGUUCCGUGGCAUUAAGUACAUUCAGAUUAUAUAAUCAUUGAGACAUCUUAACAUAAAAUUUAUGAUCUUUCUGAAAAAUAUAUAUAUGCAAAUCUGAUGAAGAAUUGAAAGUAGAGUGGAGAAACUUAAAAUUUUACCUGUAUUUAUAUGUCAGAAUAGACUCUAAGCACUGAGCUAUAUAUUAAAAUGACUUACCAGGGCCGGCGCUGUGGUAUAGCAGGUAAAGCUGCUGCCUGCAGUGUCGGCAUCCCAUAUGGGCACCGGUUUGAGUCCUGGCUGUUCCACUUCCAAUCCAGCUUUCUGCUAUGGCCUGGGAAAGCAGUGGAAAAUGGCCCAAGUCCUUGGGUGCCCAUGGGGGAAGAAGCUCCUGGAUCCUGGCUUCAGAUUGGUGCAGCUCCAACUGUUGCGGUCAUCUGAGGAGUGAACCAGCGGAUGGAAGACCUCUCUCUGUUUCUACCUCUCUCUGUAACUCUGUCUUUCAAAUAAAUAAAAUAAAUCUUUAAAAAAUCUUAAAUAAAUCUUAAAUAUUUAAUUCAAAUUUCCAUGAACUUUUUUAAAAAAAGAUUUAUUUGGAAAGCAGAGUUACAGAGAGGCAGAGAGAGAGAGAGAAGAGAGGUCUUCCAUCUGCAGGUUCAUUCCCCAUAAGGCCAAAAUGGCCAGAGCUGGGCCAGUCUGAAGCCAGGAGCCAGGAGCUCCUUUGGGUCUCCCAUGCGGGUGCAGGGGCCCAAGGACUUGGUCCAUCUUCUACUGCUUUCCCAGGCCACAGGCAGAGAGCUGGAUCAGACAUGCUGCAGGCGGUGGCUUCACCCUCUCCGCCACAGCGCCAGCCCCAUCCAUGUACUUUUUUUUUUUUUUUUGACAAGCAGAGUUAGACAGUGAGAGAGAGAGACAGAAAGAAAGGUCUUCCUUUUGCUGUUGGUUCACCCCCCAAAUGGCUGCCAUGGCCGCCGCGCUGCUCCGAUCCGAAGCCAGGAGCCAGGUGCUUCCUCCUGGUCUCCCAUGCAGGUGCAGGGCCCAAGGACUUGGGCCACAGCAGAGAGCUGGACAGGGAGAGGAGUAACUGGGACAGAACUGGCACCCCAACUGGGACUAGAACCCAGGGUGCCAGCGCCGCAGGCGGAGGAUUAGCCUAGUGAGCCGCGGUGCCGGCCAUCCAUGAACUUUUUGAAGUGCCCUCCUGUAAUGUGAUUCUGCCCUUUGAAUCGGAAGAGAUUAAAUUUUACCAACUCCUGGGUGAUCGUUAGAAUUGGGUAAUGCAAAGGUCUGACACUGAGAAUCUGGCUACUCUUCAAUUUGGAAGAGGCGUUGGUGCCAAACAGCAAAGUGCCAGCGGUAAACUCCUUAUCUGCAGUGGGUGGCUGGGGUUGUUCCCUGAAGCAGAGUGUGCACAGGGAUGCUGUGUUCUUGUAGAAUGUAGCUGACUCUUCUACAGGCCCCACCCCUAAGCCCCUGAUCAGACACAGCCACACCCCUCCCAGUUUUCCUCUAGUACCUUGUCCAACCUCCAGGAGAGCCCUAAUCAUUCAGUAACGUGAUGCGUGAUGCGCUAUUGACAUUAACACAUCAACAACAGAGGGAGAAGUUCUUCAGCUGGUUGUAUCUUGCUCAUCUCUGUUGUCCUCAGCAGUUAGCCUAGUACCUGGGACUUACUGGCUUCUCAAUAAGUAUUUAUUGAGUGAAUAAAUGACACAACCAUGGCCCAGGGAGGAAGUGACCUGCCCGAGAUCACAAAUCUAGUCAGUAACAGUGAUCUGAGAGGCAAGGUAUGAUAACAUUUUAAUGACCCUGUGUUGCUGGAAAACAUAGUGUUGAGGUGGCUCUUGCAACAAAAAUUGGGUGGCAGGUUAUUCACAGAAUUUGAGAGUCACACGAUAAUUCAAAGUCAAGAGCAUCUGAAGAAUUUUGAUCUUUUGGUGCCUUUAGACUUU